This is a long non-coding RNA of Poecilia latipinna (sailfin molly), 817 nucleotides long. RefSeq lists it as uncharacterized. NCBI's taxonomy places the organism in Eukaryota, Metazoa, Chordata, Actinopteri, Cyprinodontiformes, Poeciliidae. The record is from RefSeq and is a predicted model, not a curated record. The transcript has 4 exons.
GCAGAAGUUAAAUCAGACUGGUGCACAGAUUUAUGAAAGUAAUUUAAGCGUUUUAUUAAUUGUACAUAAAAUAAAUAUAUUUUGAGAGAUGAGAACAAUCAAAUGGGUUUCUGUUGUAAUCAGUGGAGAGCGGAAUGUAAAUAUCUAUAUUUUUAAUAUAGCAUUUAAAUCUACUACCUAAGACUGAUUUUCUUUAAAUCAGACUAAUGUACUUUUGUGUUUUGCUUUUUAUUUCUUAACCUGCAAAAAAAAAAAAUCUUUAAAUGGCCUGGAAGCUUCGGACACUUCCCUGUUUUUAUUUCUGCAGGGAUGCCUUCAGACCUUGAAUGUAUUUAAUGUUUGAUUUUGUGUAGCUGUUAAAAGGAUUGUAAUACUUGCAGAUGAUUAUUUGUACAUUGUAUUAUUGCACAGAAUUCUAAUAUAAUAAAUGUUUGAAGCGUUUAUGUUGGUCUGAUUUGUGACGUAAUUAGUUUCAGCUGUGAAAGUUGAUGGACGGAGACGCAGCGAGGCUCGUUUCUCUUUAAUCACCAGGAAGGUGAAUAAAUUAAAUUUAAAAAGAUUAAAUAUAACAUAAGAAUGAGUUUAUUGGGAGUAUUUUGCCAGUCGAAAAGGAUUUUUCUCCUGCUGAAGUCAGAAGUUCUGCAGUUUCCAUGAAUCCGUCACAACGAAACAAAAACUUCAGGAACAGCAGCAGAAAACCCCGCAGAGUAACGCUAAAAUGUGAUUCUGGUUAAUUUAUGACCAGCUGGUCUGGAGGAAGUCCGACCAGAGAGACGGCAGGUUCAGCUUUCCUGUAAUCAGGACCAACAGCCGCCGA